Molecule: long non-coding RNA, 332 nt
Organism: Pseudomyrmex gracilis
Lineage: Eukaryota; Metazoa; Arthropoda; Insecta; Hymenoptera; Formicidae
Exons: 3
Source: RefSeq, a predicted model, not a curated record
CCAAAUUGCAAUCCAAUUUCAAUCCAAAUCCGUAGUGUGACAUAGGCUUUACGUUGCAUGAUGCACAAUCUGCACAAUCAACCUCCAGGAAAUAGUCAGGAUGAACAGAUUACUCGAAGUGCUGCUAUAUAUGGGCAACAGAGAUGUUUUAAAAAGUGAAGGAGAAAGGUAAAUACCAGAAAAGUCUGUUUUUUGUUUCAAAGACUGCCACAAUUGGGAAUGUUUCAGAGAUUGUGUAUCUUCCAGAUAUAAAUUAUUAUUACUUAUUUUUUUUAGUAAUAUUUAACUUGUUACAAAAAUUAAAGCUUGCACAUAUGUACUCAUUUUAUAGA